UACGUAGGGGGCAAGCGUUGUCCGGAAUCAUUGGGCGUAAAGAGCGUGUAGGCGGCCAGAUAAGUCCGCUGUGAAAUCUCGAGGCUCAACUUCGAGCUGUCGGUGGAAACUGUCUGGCUAGAGUCCGGAAGAGGAGAAUGGAAUUCCUGGUGUAGCGGUGAAAUGCGCAGAUAUCAGGAGGAACACCGGUGGCGAAGGCGGUUCUCUGGGCAUGAUCUGACGCUGAGGAGCGAAAGUGUGGGGAGCGAACAGG
This 253-nucleotide ribosomal RNA is filed under the name uncultured bacterium. Its description in RNAcentral is "partial 16S ribosomal RNA". It matches the Rfam family "Bacterial small subunit ribosomal RNA", at positions 524 to 776 of the family's 1533-position model. The record is from RNAcentral.